This 2218-nucleotide long non-coding RNA is filed under the name Mus pahari (shrew mouse). RNAcentral describes it as "predicted gene 14168 (MGP_PahariEiJ_G0005577.1)". Lineage: Eukaryota; Metazoa; Chordata; Mammalia; Rodentia; Muridae. The record is from RNAcentral.
AUUUCACACCAGACUCUCUGACCUGUGGGGACACUGGACCAGACAUAGGAGGAGGGAAUUCUUGGCUGCAGACAGAAGGAAAGAAAUCAAGAAAACCAAACCGGAUGGAAUCUCACUAAGAAGCCCUAGCUGGUCUUGAACUUGCUAUGUAGACCAGGCUGGCCUGAAACUCACAGAGCUCCACCUGUCUCUGCCUCUGUCUCCCACGUGCUGGGGUUAAAGGCAUCUCUCACCAAGCCCAACCUGAACUAUCUCAAUACUGUAAAUAUGAACGACAGUUCCUUUGCGGUUCUGUGACGUUUGGCAAUGCAUGCUUUCCCUUAUGUCAUAUGCCACAAGAGAUUCCCUUCUUUAUCUGGUUUUCCCAUUGCUUUAAAUGCCUGAGUCCACUCCUACCUCAGGAUGAGGUGCACAUUAACCUAUAUUUUGUUCUGCCUUUCCCUAGUGUCCUUCUCUGUUUGUUUCCACAGCCCUGCCCUGUGCAGCCCCAGUGCUGCCUCUCACACUCAGGUCUGGUCUCCAUUUCUUUUUCUUCCUACACUUUAAGUCCAAUCACACUGUCCACACCUCCAGCUUGUACUUUCCUCAGCCACCAAGGACUUCACACAAAUCCUGCAUUCCUUCACAAUGUUCACAGCCUAAGGACACACACCCAGCCUCUGGGAGUGCAGCCUGGAGGCCACAGCCCUCCUGAUGCUUCGCCACCUCCAAACCAUUGCUCACGUCCUGCCUUCAGGACUCUGAGAAACCACUAUAUUGGAUGGAAGAUCUCUCGUGCUCUCUCUCUCUCUCUCUCUCUCUCUCUCUCUCUCUCUCUCUCUCCCUCUCUCCUUCUCUCUCUCCAUCUCCCCCUCCACCCCCAUCCUCUUCACCCCAUGUCUCCACAGAGAUCCUCAGAGUGUCCAGUGUCCAGUCACUGCUGUUACUGGAGGCUUCCCAGUGCAUUUCAUAACGGGGACCGACCCUGAGGCCCAUGAGUUGCGGCACUAAAAGCCUCGCAGCCGGCUCAUCAUCCCCAUCACAGCAAGCACUGUACCUGAGCUGAGCUUAAGGCCCACACAGAAGGAAGCUGACCCAAAGAGAGCAAGAAAGAGCCCUGGAACACCUGGGCUCAGCCCUGUCUGCAGUCCCCAAGCUGGGCCAGGCUCCCUUCUCCAGAGCUCAUGGAUUUACUUUAAGCCCCUUUGUAACAGGUUCCUGCUCAGGGACAUCCCUCCUUUAUUCCUAUGCUGGAAGGAUGGGUGAGAUGUGGUGACUGUCAUUCUCAUCCAUGGUGACGCUGAGCAGAAAUCCUUCCUCAAAGCGAAGGACCCUGGCCUCAGGAUGGAGGUGAACAGAGACGAGCCUGGCAGUCUGGAGCCACAGUACCACUGGGCAUUCAGCACAGGGAGGGAGCAGGAGCCCUGGCUGAGACACCCCUCCCUCGGAGAUUUACCCUUCAGCGUCUGCCCAACCACAUAGUCCAAGGAUGUCAAGAGCCAGAAGGGACCCAUGACUAGGCCCUCCCUGUGCAUGGUUAAACUGCAAUCCCAGGAGGGAAUCAAACUUGUCGCGCGGUGACCAUGAAUUGUUUCCUGCCCAAGCAGACACAGAACUCCAGCCUUCCCAUCAGCCCCCUGGGCCCUGGACAUGCUGCAGGCCUCUGCGGUGGCCGGAGGGCUGAGCAGCUGCUGGUCGGUUGCUUCCGGGUAUACCAUGCGGACAUGAUCUGUGCUGUCCCACAGAUGCCUGAAAGCUGAGCCAGGACACCAAGACAGCUGCUGUUCCUGAUCUGUUGGCCACACAGGGAAGGAGAGUGGCAGGCCAGGUCUGUCCCCUGCGGACUGCUCCCUCAGUGCCAGCUGCAGAGCCAGAGAAGCUAAGGAACCCCCCAGUAGUGUACAAUUGAGUCACAUGCUUGGGUGACCCUCCAUCAGUCUGACCUCACUGCCCAAGGUCUUAAUGCCUACAUCCAGGGGGUUAGAUCCCAAUGCCAACUGGGGCCAGGCAGAUGAGGCCAGUGGCUGGCUGGAGGGUCCUGUGAGGACAGAGAGAGCGCACUGCUGAUCUCCACACCAUCCAGGACAACCUGUUCAAGGCGAACUCCUGGGAGCUUUCAGUUUUUUCAAAAGAAGCUGGGAAUCUGGGUUUUUAUGUGAAACUUCUCUAUUUUUAAAUGUUGGCAACAAAUUGAGAUUUCUUUAAGGGAAAAAAAAAAAAAAAACACUGCAAGCCAACC